CCACAUGAGCAUGAUACCGUACAAAACCAAACUUGCAAUACUUUUCCUAUAAAAAACGUUGUUUGGGGUAAUAAAUCUGCAAACUGGGAAACUCAAAGUAUGCAACCAAUCAAGGGUUGAAGAUUGAAGACGGAGAAAAAUAGGCGCCAUUAUUUGCUUUGCUCUCUCUCUCUCUCUAAAAUUUUCUCUCUCUAACUCUUUGAAGCCUACUUGCAACGUCUCCUUUUUCAUCCUUUAAAUAAAAAACAAAGUUAAAUAGAGGAUUCAGAGUCGAUACAAUACAAAUAUAUUCAUAUACACGGAGAGAGGUCAACACUUUAUAAAUCUCUAUUCACCAACUCCCCUUCUUCUUCCUCAAGCGGCUUUGAUUUCGCGACCAAGCACAUCAGACAUUUUAUGGAUAAAGCAGGACUUGGCAAGGAGGCUCCUGAAGAAGUGACUCGUGAGUCGCUUAUUGCCAUUUCGUACUCUUUACCAGAGAAGAAUCUCACUUCAAAACUCUCUUCUGGAGAGUUGAAUGGCGAGGCAAUAGAUACUGAUGGAGAAGAGAAGUUUAGGUCUGAGCUGAUCUCCAUUUCGUAUACAGAGUCACCGGAAGUUGGAGGCUUACCCGUUACCAUGGGAGAACUUAACGGCUAGGGUGCAGGUGGUUCCUGUAUUAAUACAAACCGAGUAAUACUGUGUGCAUGGACUUGUACUGUGUAAGUUGUUUACAUAUUCUGUAAAAUAAACCUUAAAAGAGUUCCUUGAGACAAUGAAUGAAAAAACUUCCUGUCUUCUGUGUCUCUGUGUGCUGCUGGUUGUGAAAUCUGGGUUUUGUAUCUCUGCUGCCUCGAAGUUUACUCUAAAUCUUUUGGCACUUGUGUUACCAAUUGUUGGGACUCACAGCUCGCCUGCAAUGAAUAAUAUAAACUUUGUGUUA
This is a long non-coding RNA of Malus domestica (apple), 922 nucleotides long. RefSeq lists it as uncharacterized. Lineage: Eukaryota; Viridiplantae; Streptophyta; Magnoliopsida; Rosales; Rosaceae. The record is from RefSeq and is a predicted model, not a curated record.